GGAAGGGGUGGAGCCAUGAUCCUUUCCAGACCACAUUUAGGGGUUGGCAGUGGAGGUGAGAGUACCUCACUGGAGAUCCUUGCCUACCUGAGGCUUUCCAGAGGGUUUUUGAAGUGGGGAAGCUGCAGGAGUGGCCUCUGUGGGAAGAGAAGAACAUAAGCUGUGCAGCAUUAGGUUCUCCACUGGCCUCAUUCUAAUCGUGAGGAGAAUCACCAAAGCACAUCAACAUUUGCAGCUGGAAGAAGAUAGUAAUGGUCAAAGAUACCAGUACCUUCCCCUUCCUCCUUUUCCUUGUUUGCUCCCACAACAAAAGAACUCAGCAAGAUAACACAAUUAUGAAAAGCUGAUAGAAUUAGGGGAGAGGAGAUGUGGCCUUCUUGGUUCUUAAUAAGAUGCAAGAAGACAAUAAUUCUGCCAUUCCUAUGAUCCUAUCUUCUACACUCCCGUCUUUCUGUGAAGCCUGUCACUGAGGCCAAAAUCCUUCAUAUCAUGCCUCCAAAAUGGUUCUCUAAAAAACAUUUUUAUUCACACUUAUUUAUUAAACAUCGAUAUUAUUUUUAUUGAGAUGUUCAUAUUAAUAUUUGCAGAAUUAUUUGACAAAUAAAUAACAUGCUUAUCUUUGAGAUUUUCUUUUGAAAAUCUUUUCAUAUACAAAAUAAUUAUGAAUGAGCAUGAAUUUAUUUCAUAAACUACUUCUGAAGCUUGUUCAAAACCUCCUUAAUUUAUUUCAUAAAUGUAAGACUAACUGCUUCAUAUCUUUCUAGAUAAUAUCCUGUCCAACAAAUACAUUCAUUUGUAAAAUUUCCAUGAUCUAACCAGGACUUACAUUAACAAAAGUGUAAAUAGCAAUCAGUGUCUCAGUAAAAAGAAG
This is a long non-coding RNA of Gallus gallus (chicken), 871 nucleotides long. The record is from Ensembl. NCBI's taxonomy places the organism in Eukaryota, Metazoa, Chordata, Aves, Galliformes, Phasianidae.